Syngnathus acus (greater pipefish) is the source of this 425-nucleotide long non-coding RNA. RefSeq lists it as uncharacterized. NCBI's taxonomy places the organism in Eukaryota, Metazoa, Chordata, Actinopteri, Syngnathiformes, Syngnathidae. The transcript has 2 exons. The record is from RefSeq and is a predicted model, not a curated record.
UCACAAUGCCCCAAUCAUGGACAUCAACAUAAAGGUUGAGUACAUUUACUUUAUAGUCACUGUUAAAAUGAGGCGGACUGGUUAUUCAUACAUUGGAUAUUACUUGUGUCUGUGGCUCACAAAUGGCAGUCAAUAGUGAUUAUUACCAACAAUUUCAUCUCAAACAUGCCAGGUUGCAUGUAUGUAAAAUGUUUUUUAAUAUGUAUUCCCACCCCCAAAGGCACAUCACAUGUAAAUAAAUAUGUUGUACAUAAGGUAAAAACUACAGAUAGAAAAUGUUUUUUUUUAUUAUUCAUACGGCGCCAAUAUACAUUUUGUUUCAAGAAAAUAUACAUAGUAAUUUUUUUUUUCUUUCCCCCUUCAGUUCAUUUGAGCAGUGUGGGCUACAUUCAUUGUAAACAAGCUAAACGUAAUCCUUAACAAUA